GGGACAAAAAGAUUGUUGAUAUGAGGGAACAUUCAUGCAUGGCUAAAAAUACUAUUUAUUUUUUUUCACUAAGUGGGCCUUUUAAUCACAUAAAUUAGCAAUAAAUAGCUAAUAUAUACUCUUCCAAUCACAUGAGCUCUAAUGAUCACACUUAAAAAAUUAAACCCCACAAAUCCAAAAUAUACUUUAAAUUUUUUUUAUAAUAUCAUAAAGAAAAGAAGAAAAAAUGAUUUAAUACAUCUACAACCUUUUAAAAGUUGUUAAUUAAUUUUAUUUAGACACUCGAAUUAAUCAACUGGAACAUGUAUGAGAUUUUACGACUUAUUAAGAUUAAUACAAUUAAUGG
Molecule: long non-coding RNA, 346 nt
Filed under: Capsicum annuum
Lineage: Eukaryota; Viridiplantae; Streptophyta; Magnoliopsida; Solanales; Solanaceae
Description: long non-coding RNA (CANN_LNC021273)
Source: RNAcentral